GAACUCUGUGAGUCUCUGUCUCCACCAUGAGGAACAGAGGCCCAACCCAAGGAGCCUCCAGGGCAGGGGUGACCUCUAAGGACUCAGCCCCAACAAAGAGCCAUUCCUGAGCACUCGGGUGGGAGCCGAGAACUGCCUGCUGGGAUCUGCAGGCAGGUAUUUGAAUGUUAUCAUCGUAUGACUCACUGAGAGAUAGCCACCUGGUUUUAUAGAGUAAAGAGAUAAGGGCCAUUGCCUGUGAGGAAGGAGACUGGAAUCCAUCUACCUCUGCCUAGACGGAGCCUGAGGAGUAGGCCAAGGGCCAAACACUAUACUUGGUAAACCAACCUCCCCUGGCAGCAGUGGGGGCAGUGGGGACAUCCACACUGACUGACAGGAAUGGGGAAGAGGGUCUCGGCAGGGCUACUUCUAGGCCUUUCCUCCUGGGCAGAACCCCUGGUUUCUCCCCAGAGAGAAGCUUGGACUUCCAGCUCUCCUGUUCUUGAAGUUGGCUCCAACUGUAUUUUUCCAGACGCCACCAAUAAAGU
Long non-coding RNA from Mastomys coucha (southern multimammate mouse), 527 nucleotides. RefSeq lists it as uncharacterized. Lineage: Eukaryota; Metazoa; Chordata; Mammalia; Rodentia; Muridae. The record is from RefSeq and is a predicted model, not a curated record. The transcript is spliced from 3 exons.